GUGCUCACUUCAGCAGCACAUAUAGUAAAAUUAAAAUGAUACAGAGUUUAGCAUGGCUCCUGUGCAAGGAUGACAUGCAAAUUCGUGGUGUUCUGUAUCUUUUG
Molecule: small nuclear RNA, 104 nt
Filed under: Phascolarctos cinereus (koala)
Lineage: Eukaryota; Metazoa; Chordata; Mammalia; Diprotodontia; Phascolarctidae
Source: RNAcentral